Molecule: ribosomal RNA, 453 nt
Filed under: uncultured bacterium
Lineage: Bacteria
Description: bacterial SSU rRNA
Rfam family: Bacterial small subunit ribosomal RNA
Source: RNAcentral
UACGGGAGGCAGCAGUGGGGAAUAUUGCACAAUGGGCGAAAGCCUGAUGCAGCUAUGCCGCGUGUAUGAAGAAGGCCUUAGGGUUGUAAAGUACUUUCAUCGGGGAGGAAAAACAAAACUAAUAAUUUUAUUUCUUGACGUUACCCGAAAAAGAAGCACCGGCUAACUCCGUGCCAGCAGCCGCGGUAAUACGGAGGGUGCUAGCGUUAAUCAGAAUUACUGGGCGUAAAGAGCACGUAGGUGGUUUUUUAAGUCAGAUGUGAAAUCCCUGGGCUUAACCUAGGAACUGCAUUUUGAAACUGAAAUACUAGAGUAUCGUAGAGGGAGGUAGAAUUCUAGGUGUAGCGGUGAAAUGCGUAGAUAUCUGGAGGAAUACCUGUGGCGAAAGCGGCCUCCUAAACGAAUACUGACACUGAGUGCGAAAGCGUGGGGAGCAAACAGGGAUUAGAUACC